CGCCCGAAGCGGGGGUACCGCGGCCAUCGUGCCGCGGUUGAGACAGUCCCUUGGAACCUGAUCCGGUUGAUACCGGCGUAGGGAAGCUUCGCAAUGCCCCAU
RNAcentral lists this non-coding RNA (102 nucleotides) under Stenotrophomonas sp. RNAcentral's name for it is "TPP sequence". It matches the Rfam family "TPP riboswitch aptamer (THI element)". From Rfam's summary of the family: Vitamin B(1) in its active form thiamin pyrophosphate (TPP) is an essential coenzyme that is synthesised by coupling of pyrimidine and thiazole moieties in bacteria. Lineage: Bacteria; Pseudomonadati; Pseudomonadota; Gammaproteobacteria; Lysobacterales; Lysobacteraceae. The record is from RNAcentral.